AGUGAACGCUGGCGGUAGGCCUAACACAUGCAAGUCGAACGGCAGCACAGUAAGAGCUUGCUCUUACGGGUGGCGAGUGGCGGACGGGUGAGGAAUACAUCGGAAUCUACUUUUUCGUGGGGGAUAACGUAGGGAAACUUACGCUAAUACCGCAUACGACCUACGGGUGAAAGCAGGGGAUCUUCGGACCUUGCGCGAUUGAAUGAGCCGAUGUCGGAUUAGCUAGUUGGCGGGGUAAAGGCCCACCAAGGCGACGAUCCGUAGCUGGUCUGAGAGGAUGAUCAGCCACACUGGAACUGAGACACGGUCCAGACUCCGACGGGAGGCAGCAGUGGGGAAUAUUGGACAAUGGGCGCAAGCCUGAUCCAGCCAUACCGCGUGGGUGAAGAAGGCCUUCGGGUUGUAAAGCCAUUUUGUUGGGAAAGAGAAGCAGCAGGUUAAUACCCCGCUGUUCUGACGGUACCCAAAGAAUAAGCACCGGCUAACUUCGUG
This 492-nucleotide ribosomal RNA is filed under the name uncultured bacterium. Its description in RNAcentral is "partial 16S ribosomal RNA". It matches the Rfam family "Bacterial small subunit ribosomal RNA", at positions 29 to 507 of the family's 1533-position model. The record is from RNAcentral.